AAGUGGAAAACGAUGUGAAGUUACUUAAACAACCAGGAGGUUGGCUUAGAAGCAGCCAUCCUUUAAAGAAAGCGUAAUAGCUCACUGGUCUAGUGAUUUUGCGCGGAAAAUAUAACGGGGCUAAAGUAAGUACCGAAGCUGUAGACUUAGUUUACUAAGUGGUAGGAGAGCGUUCUAUUUGCGUCGAAGGUAUACCGGUAAGGAGUGCUGGAGCGAAUAGAAGUGAGCAUGCAGGCAUGAGUAGCGAUAAUUAAUGUGAGAAUCAUUAACGCCGUAAACCCAAGGUUUCCUACGCGAUGCUCGUCAUCGUAGGGUUAGUCGGGUCCUAAGUCGAGUCCGAAAGGGGUAGACGAUGGCAAAUUGGUUAAUAUUCCAAUACCAACAUUAGUGUGCGAUGGAAGGACGCUUAGGGCUAAGGGGGCUAGCGGAUGGAAGUGCUAGUCUAAGGUCGUAGGAGGUUAUACAGGCAAAUCCGUAUAACAAUACUCCGAGAACUGAAAGGCUUUUUGAAGUCUUCGGAUGGAUAGAAGAACCCCUGAUGCCGUCGAGCCAAGAAAAGUUUCUAAGUUUAGCUAAUGUUGCCCGUACCGUAAACCGACACAGGUGGGUGGGAUGAGUAUUCUAAGGCGCGUGGAAGAACUCUCUUUAAGGAACUCUGCAAAAUAGCACCGUAUCUUCGGUAUAAGGUGUGGUUAGCUUUGUAUUAGGAUUUACUCCGAAAGCAAGGAAACUUACAACAAAGAGUCCCUCCCGACUGUUUACCAAAAACACAGCACUCUGCUAACUCGUAAGAGGAUGUAUAGGGUGUGACGCCUGCCCGGUGCUCGAAGGUUAAUUGAUGGGGUUAGCAUUAGCGAAGCUCUUGAUCGAAGCCCGAGUAAACGGCGGCCGUAACUAUAACGGUCCUAAGGUAGCGAAAUUCCUUGUCGGUUAAAUACCGACCUGCAUGAAUGGCGUAACGAGAUGGGAGCUGUCUCAAAGAGGGAUCCAGUGAAAUUGUAGUGGAGGUGAAAAUUCCUCCUACCCGCGGCAAGACGGAAAGACCCCGUGGACCUUUACUACAGCUUGACACUGCUACUUGGAUAAGAAUGUGCAGGAUAGGUGGGAGGCUUUGAGUAUAUGACGCCAGUUGUAUAUGAGCCAUUGUUGAGAUACCACUCUUUCUUAUUUGGGUAGCUAACCAGCUUGAGUUAUCCUCAAGUGGGACAAUGUCUGGUGGGUAGUUUGACUGGGGCGGUCGCCUCCCAAAUAAUAACGGAGGCUUACAAAGGUUGGCUCAGAACGGUUGGAAAUCGUUCGUAGAGUAUAAAGGUAUAAGCCAGCUUAACUGCAAGACAUACAAGUCAAGCAGAGACGAAAGUCGGUCUUAGUGAUCCGGUGGUUCUGUGUGGAAGGGCCAUCGCUCAAAGGAUAAAAGGUACCCCGGGGAUAACAGGCUGAUCUCCCCCAAGAGCUCACAUCGACGGGGAGGUUUGGCACCUCGAUGUCGGCUCAUCGCAUCCUGGGGCUGGAGCAGGUCCCAAGGGUAUGGCUGUUCGCCAUUUAAAGCGGUACGCGAGCUGGGUUCAGAACGUCGUGAGACAGUUCGGUCCCUAUCUGCCGUGGGCGUAAGAAGAUUGAAGAGAUUUGACCCUAGUACGAGAGGACCGGGUUGAACAAACCACUGGUGUAGCUGUUGUUCUGCCAAGAGCAUCGCAGCGUAGCUAAGUUUGGAAAGGAUAAACGCUGAAAGCAUCUAAGCGUGAAGCCAACUCUAAGAUGAAUCUUCUCUAAGCUCUCUAGAAGACUACUAGUUUGAUAGGCUGGGUGUGUAAUGGAUGAAAGUCCUUUAGCUGACCAGUACUAAUAGAGCGUUUGGCUUAUCUUUAAUAAAGCAU
This 1877-nucleotide ribosomal RNA is filed under the name Campylobacter jejuni. RNAcentral describes it as "partial 23S ribosomal RNA". It matches the Rfam family "Bacterial large subunit ribosomal RNA", at positions 1061 to 2925 of the family's 2925-position model. The record is from RNAcentral. Lineage: Bacteria; Pseudomonadati; Campylobacterota; Epsilonproteobacteria; Campylobacterales; Campylobacteraceae.